This 253-nucleotide ribosomal RNA is filed under the name uncultured bacterium. RNAcentral's name for it is "partial 16S ribosomal RNA". It matches the Rfam family "Bacterial small subunit ribosomal RNA", at positions 524 to 776 of the family's 1533-position model. The record is from RNAcentral.
UACGAAGGGGGCUAGCGUUGUUCGGAAUUACUGGGCGUAAAGCGCGCGCAGGCGGUCUUCUAAGUCAGUGGUGAAAGCCCGGAGCUCAACUCCGGAACUGCCAUUGAAACUGUAAGACUUGAGGACGAGAGAGGUGAGUGGAAUUCCCAGUGUAGAGGUGAAAUUCGUAGAUAUUGGGAAGAACACCGGUGGCGAAGGCGGCUCACUGGCUCGUAUCUGACGCUCAGGCGCGACAGCGUGGGGAUCAAACAGG